AUCACCUAAGGUCAGGAGUUCGAGACCAGCCUGGCCAACAUGGUGACACCCCGUCUCUACUAAAAAUACAAAAUUAGCCAGGCAUGGUGGCGCAUGCCUGUAAUCCCAGCUACUUGGGAGUCUGAGGCAGGAGAAUCGCUUGAGCUUGGGAGGCAGAGAUUGCAGUGAGCUGAGAUAGUACCAUUGCACUCCAGCCUGGGCGACAAGAGCAAAACUCUGUCUCAAAAAAAAAGGAGUUUUACCAAAGAUGGUAAUUGAAGCAUCAGAAAGUAAUAGAGCUGACCUAGAUUAUUAAGUAAGUGGAAUUGGGAAAAACUAACAUCUGGAUCAAGGAUGACUCUUUAAUUGUAAAAGCAGUCAUAGAAAUUACUAAGAAAAUGCUGGGCACGGUGGCUCACGCCUGUAAUCCCAGCACUUUGGGAGGCUGAGGCGGGCAGAGCACUUGAGGUCAGGAGUUUGAGACCAGCCUGGCCAACAUGGUGAAACCCUGUCUCUACUAAAAAUACAAAAAUUAGCCAGGCGUGAUGGUGAGUGCCUGUAAUCCCAGCUACUCAGGAGGCUGAGGCAGGAGAAUCACUUGAACAUGGGAGGAGGAGGUUGGGGUGAGCUGAGAUCGUGCCACUGCACUCCAGCCUGGGUAACAGAGUGAGACUCCAUCUCCAAAAAAAAAAAGGAAAAGAAAAAUAUUUUUCUUUGGAAUCCAAUAAGGUUCUUGUAAGAGCCGGUUUUAAUUUGAGGCAAAGUAACAGAGUAAAAUUGGCUCAAUCUCUAUCCACUAAUUGGCCAUUUUUGAUCAGUGCAUUGGACUUUUAACUUGCCACUAUUUAAAGGGGAAAGGAUUUGCUAAAUAAACCAAUAAUCUAAACAGGAUUACAAAGAGCCUGUUUAGCCUGCCUAAGAAAACAAACCUCUAGAGUUUAAAAAACUGUAGUGUUACUGUCUUUGCAACGUAAUAUGAUCAUUACAAAUCUUACUAAUUUUUAAAAAAAGGGUCCCGUGGGAUAAUCUCUAGGCAAAACUUUACCAGAUGUUUUAAAUACUAGGUAAGAAUGGGAAAAUAGCAUGGAUUUUCAAGUGGUCCUCAAUGUGGUCUUUCUGAGAUUCUCCCCACUCCCACCAGCUGCAUUAUUCUAUCUUGGGAAGCUCUCUCACCCACAGAGUGACUUCUAUUUCUCUCUUUUGUGGCAGCAAUCAAGAGCUUAAUUCACUGGAGCUUUAAACCAUGGGGUGUGUGAAGCCACAAGCAUUCCUCUCCCUCCAGUAAGAUUUCUGUUUGUAAAGAGAUCUGAGGAAAGGCUUUGUGAAACAAGCAAAUCUCUGACAAUAUCCUCACUCAGAUUGAAGUUCACCGGUGUUUGUUCUUUUUUAGAGCUUGAUCUCUUCUCUUUACUUUUAGUUUCCUGAAUAGUGUAUGUGUUAUUCGUCAUAUAUGUGGGAUGGGACUAGAUCUAUACCGAAUAAUCUUGAAUUGCUGAAUAAUUCUGUCACAGAUCCCAUUUGGAAUUUCUUUGCCUUGCCCUGCCCUGGAAAGGACCCUGGGCUCUGGCAGAUAAAGGGGAAUUCCCUUCAGUGAGUGGCUUCCCUGCCAAUCAUGGCAAAUUACACAGCUCUCUAGUAAAUAUCUGCACGAUGCCAACCGAGAAGAAGCGGAGGUCAGAAAAGCCAAUUUUGAGACAACACUUCAAUCCUUCCUCUAAGUCACUGUGAUUCAGAAAACAUUUAGGUGCAUCUCCUAUCCUGGAAAUAAAAACUGAUUUUUGCAAAGGUUAAAUGAGAUGCGACACAUUAAAGAGGCUAUUGUGUAACUCUUACUAUCCAAUAGCUUUUAUGCUCAUCAUCAUGUCAUUCGAUUCUGCUCAUUAACGCUCAUCCUGCAAACAUUCGAGCAAGACCAGCCACUUUCUAGUACCUCAGGCCAUCCUUUGUCAGCUGAUUCCCUGUCACACAGAUGCUAUGUAUUUGCCUGUAUUGCAAAUAUCGUAUAUAUUAUAUAUAGUAUAUAAAUGUGUGUACAUACAUGUUUUCAAUGUAUAGAUUUGCUGCAAAUACUUCAAUAUAAUAAAAACUGUAUUCUACUCUAGUCUGUCUUACUGUGAACUCUGUGUUUUAAAUAAGGUGUUUGUUUUUAUUUAUGUUCCAAAAGCUGCAUCAGUGUAUCCAUUCACUACAUUCUUGGGGUACCAUAGAGGUAUUUUCUACUCUGACUUUAUAAGCUAAAUAAUUU
This 2224-nucleotide long non-coding RNA is filed under the name Homo sapiens (human). RNAcentral's name for it is "HSALNT0298522". Lineage: Eukaryota; Metazoa; Chordata; Mammalia; Primates; Hominidae. The record is from RNAcentral.